GAACAAUGGACAAAAAGCUGAUACACCGGGGUUGGAAUCUUCACCUGUCAUUAUGUUCCAGGUGGCCUUGAACAAACAAUGUCUUCAAAAAUUACUGGAAAUGCUGUGGGAUUGUAUUUAAGGUUUGGAUUUGGAAGGUGGACAGCUGCUCCUGGCAAGAAUCAGAAAGACACCUGAGAAGCCAUAGCAAAGAUCUGAAGGUGGCUACCAGAAGACCCUUGGCUCUCCA
This is a long non-coding RNA of Phodopus roborovskii (desert hamster), 229 nucleotides long. RefSeq lists it as uncharacterized. Lineage: Eukaryota; Metazoa; Chordata; Mammalia; Rodentia; Cricetidae. The record is from RefSeq and is a predicted model, not a curated record. The transcript is spliced from 3 exons.